This 253-nucleotide ribosomal RNA is filed under the name uncultured bacterium. Its description in RNAcentral is "partial 16S ribosomal RNA". It matches the Rfam family "Bacterial small subunit ribosomal RNA", at positions 524 to 776 of the family's 1533-position model. The record is from RNAcentral.
UACGUAGGGUGCAAGCGUUGUCCGGAAUUAUUGGGCGUAAAGGGCUCGUAGGCGGUCCAUCGCGUCGGGAGUGAAAAGCUGGGGCUCAACCCCAGUCCUGCUUCCGAUACGGGUGGACUAGAGGUAUGCAGGGGAGAACGGAAUUCCUGGUGUAGCGGUGAAAUGCGCAGAUAUCAGGAGGAACACCGGUGGCGAAGGCGGUUCUCUGGACAGUUCCUGACACUGAGACACGAAGGCCAGGGGAGCAAACGGG